AGAGUUUGAUCAUGGCUCAGGACGAACGCUGGCGGCGUGCUUAACACAUGCAAGUCGAACGGAGUCCAUCCAGUCGCAAGACUGGUGAAGACUGAGUGGCGAACGGGUGCGUAACACGUGAGAAACCUGUCCCGGUCUCUGGAAUAACAGUCGGAAACGACUGCUAAUACUGGAUGCCGUCGGAGGGCCGCAUGGCUCGCUGACGAAAGGGUUACCGGAUCGGGAGGGUCUCGCGGCCUAUCAGCUUGUUGGUGAGGUAACGGCUCACCAAGGCAUCGACGGGUAGCUGGUCUGAGAGGAUGAUCAGCCACACUGGGACUGAGACACGGCCCAGACUCCUACGGGAGGCAGCAGUGGGGAAUCUUGCACAAUGGGCGAAAGCCUGAUGCAGCAACGCCGCGUGCGGGAAGAAGGCCUUAGGGUUGUAAACCGCUUUCAGCAGGAAAGAAACUGACGGUACCUGCAGAAGAAGGUGCGGCCAACUACGUGCCAGCAGCCGCGGUGACACGUAGGCACCAAGCGUUGUCCGGAUUUAUUGGGCGUAAAGAGCUCGUAGGCGGUUCGGUAAGUCGGGUGUGAAAACUCUGGGCUCAACCCAGAGAUGCCACCCGAUACUGCUGUGACUCGAGUGCGGUAGGGGAGCGGGGAAUUCCUGGUGUAGCGGUGAAAUGCGCAGAUAUCAGGAGGAACACCAGUGGCGAAGGCGCCGCUCUGGGCCGUAACUGACGCUGAGGAGCGAAAGCGUGGGGAGCAAACAGGAUUAGAUACCCUGGUAGUCCACGCCGUAAACGUUGGGCACUAGGUGUGGGUCUCAACCAACGAGAUCCGCGCCGUCGCUAACGCAUUAAGUGCCCCGCCUGGGGAGUACGGCCGCAAGGCUAAACUCAAAGGAAUUGACGGGGCCCGCACAAGCAGCGGAGCGUGUUGCUUAAUUCGAUGCAACGCGAAGAACCUUACCUGGGGUUUGACAUGUAGGGAAAGCUCUAGAGAUAGGGUGUCCUUCGGGCCUUACCCAGGUGGUGCAUGCUGUCGUCAGCUCGUGUCCUGAGAAUGUUGGGUAGUCCCGCACGAGCGCCACCCUUUUCCCUAUGUUGCAGCGGGUAUUGCGGGAACCUCGUUAAGAAACUGCGGUUCCACUCCGAAGAAGGUGGGAAGUAACUUCUGAGAUCAUAUAUAUGUUCCCUUAUAGUGUCA
This 1194-nucleotide ribosomal RNA is filed under the name uncultured bacterium. RNAcentral describes it as "bacterial SSU rRNA". It matches the Rfam family "Bacterial small subunit ribosomal RNA", at positions 8 to 1210 of the family's 1533-position model. The record is from RNAcentral.